AAAUGUUUGACAAGGUGUUAACAGUCUGUAUCUCCAUGUCUUCCAUUCACGUGGCUCACCAUCCACAUAUUCAGGAAGUAGCUUUUAUCUUUCAAAACAGUUCAGUGAUAAGAAAAGAAAAUGCAUUGUGUGAAUGCACAAAGAAAAGUGCAUUGUGAUGUCACAAUGGAGCAGCUUUGAUUCUCUUUCCUCUGAACACUAGAGAGGCAAUAUCAAAGCUAGACCCUGGGAGUCCAAGCACCUCUGCAAAUCCACUUCUGACAAACAUGAUAAUUAUGAUGAAAGGGAAGCUGAGACUCUAAGAAGUAAAAUGAAUUAUUCAAUCAACUCAGGCCACAGCUAGGCCAAUGCUCUUUCUAGGAAACCAUGCUUGAAGAAAAUGCUUUCCAUGGAGAAUUUAUAUAAGAACAUAGUUACAAAAGUAAACAAGGAGACAUUAAAUUUCAUUAAAUUCCUGAGGGUUCUGAACCCUUGCUGCAUGAUUGAUGCAAGCACAUCUAGGAAUGUGUCCUGGGAAGGAAUGGUGGAAUGAAUGACCAGAGAAACCCCUGAGGAAUACAAGGACUCCCUGGUUUGAAAGGCAGUAGAACAGAGCUUCCAAUGUGCCCUCUGGAUCUAGUAUUACAUGAAUAAACUCAAGAGAGGGCCA
Macaca mulatta (Rhesus monkey) is the source of this 649-nucleotide non-coding RNA. The record is from RefSeq and is a predicted model, not a curated record. Lineage: Eukaryota; Metazoa; Chordata; Mammalia; Primates; Cercopithecidae.